CCUACGGGAGGCAGCAGUAGGGAAUCUUGCGCAAUGGGCGAAAGCCUGACGCAGCCAUGCCGCGUGAAUGAUGAAGGUCUUAGGAUUGUAAAAUUCUUUCACCGGGGACGAUAAUGACGGUACCCGGAGAAGAAGCCCCGGCUAACUUCGUGCCAGCAGCCGCGGUAAUACGAAGGGGGCUAGCGUUGCUCGGAAUUACUGGGCGUAAAGGGAGCGUAGGCGGAUAGUUUAGUCAGAGGUGAAAGCCCAGGGCUCAACCUUGGAACUGCCUUUGAUACUGGCUAUCUUGAGUACGGGAGAGGUGAGUGGAACUCCGAGUGUAGAGGUGAAAUUCGUAGAUAUUCGGAAGAACACCAGUGGCGAAGGCGACUCACUGGCCCGUUACUGACGCUGAGGCUCGAAAGCGUGGGGAGCAAACAGGAUUAGAUACCCUGGUAGUCCACGCUGUAAACGAUGAGUGCUAGUUGUCGGCAUGCAUGCAUGUCGGUGACGCAGCUAACGCAUUAAGCACUCCGCCUGGGGAGUACGGUCGCAAGNUUAAAACUCAAAGNGUAAGUGCGNGNGAGAGNGACGACGACGACGAGGAGGAG
This 590-nucleotide ribosomal RNA is filed under the name uncultured bacterium. RNAcentral describes it as "bacterial SSU rRNA". It matches the Rfam family "Bacterial small subunit ribosomal RNA", at positions 338 to 943 of the family's 1533-position model. The record is from RNAcentral.